UGUGAUCUCCCUGAGACUUAGAGUCUCCUGAAGGAACGUUGAAGACGACGACGUUGAUAGGCCGGGUGUGUAAGCGCAGCGAUGCGUUGAGCUAACCGGUACUAAUGAACCGUGAGGCUUAACCUUACAACGCCGAAG
Molecule: ribosomal RNA, 138 nt
Filed under: Salmonella enterica subsp. enterica serovar Schwarzengrund
Lineage: Bacteria; Pseudomonadati; Pseudomonadota; Gammaproteobacteria; Enterobacterales; Enterobacteriaceae
Description: partial 23S ribosomal RNA
Rfam family: Bacterial large subunit ribosomal RNA
Source: RNAcentral